Molecule: ribosomal RNA, 681 nt
Filed under: uncultured bacterium
Lineage: Bacteria
Description: bacterial SSU rRNA
Rfam family: Bacterial small subunit ribosomal RNA
Source: RNAcentral
GGAUAACAUUUGGAAACAGGUGCUAAUACCGCAUAACAACGAAAGCCACAUGGCUUUUGUUUGAAAGAUGGCUUUGGCUAUCACUCUGGGAUGGACCCGCGGUGCAUUAGCUAGUUGGUAAGGUAACGGCUUACCAAGGCGAUGAUGCAUAGCCGAGUUGAGAGACUGAUCGGCCACAAUGGAACUGAGACACGGUCCAUACUCCUACGGGAGGCAGCAGUAGGGAAUCUUCCACAAUGGGCGCAAGCCUGAUGGAGCAACACCGCGUGAGUGAAGAAGGGUUUCGGCUCGUAAAGCUCUGUUGUUGGAGAAGAACGUGCGUGAGAGUAACUGUUCACGCAGUGACGGUAUCCAACCAGAAAGUCACGGCUAACUACGUGCCAGCAGCCGCGGUAAUACGUAGGUGGCAAGCGUUAUCCGGAUUUAUUGGGCGUAAAGCGAGCGCAGGCGGUUGCUUAGGUCUGAUGUGAAAGCCUUCGGCUUAACCGAAGAAGUGCAUCGGAAACCGGGCGACUUGAGUGCAGAAGAGGACAGUGGAACUCCAUGUGUAGCGGUGGAAUGCGUAGAUAUAUGGAAGAACACCAGUGGCGAAGGCGGCUGUCUGGUCUGCAACUGACGCUGAGGCUCGAAAGCAUGGGUAGCGAACAGGAUUAGAUACCCUGGUAGUCCAUGCCGUAAACG